Molecule: ribosomal RNA, 252 nt
Filed under: uncultured bacterium
Lineage: Bacteria
Description: partial 16S ribosomal RNA
Rfam family: Bacterial small subunit ribosomal RNA
Source: RNAcentral
GCAAGUCGAGCGGUAGCAUUUCUAGCUUGCUAGAAGAUGACGAGCGGCGGACGGGUGAGUAACGCGUAGGAAUCUGCCGAGUAGUGGGGGAUAGCCCAGAGAAAUUUGGAUUAAUACCGCAUACGCCCUACGGGGGAAAGACGGGGAAUCUUCGGAUCCUGUCACUACUGGAUGAGCCUGCGUCGGAUUAGCUUGUUGGUGAGGUAAUGGCUCACCAAGGCGACGAUCCGUAGCUGGUCUGAGAGGAUGAUC